CCUCUCUCAGGAUCGCACCUGGAGAGUUUUCAUACUCUAGCAGUUUCGACUACGGGAGGGAGAGUCAAGCGGAGGCCUGUCCAUUCCAUUCCUGGCCUGGGUAGUGGCUAGUGAGUGGAAGGCAAUCUGCUUCAAGC
Small nucleolar RNA from Tachyglossus aculeatus (Australian echidna), 137 nucleotides. Lineage: Eukaryota; Metazoa; Chordata; Mammalia; Monotremata; Tachyglossidae. The record is from RefSeq and is a predicted model, not a curated record.